RNAcentral lists this ribosomal RNA (404 nucleotides) under uncultured bacterium. RNAcentral describes it as "bacterial SSU rRNA". It matches the Rfam family "Bacterial small subunit ribosomal RNA", at positions 355 to 776 of the family's 1533-position model. The record is from RNAcentral.
UGGGGAAUCUUGCACAAUGGGGGAAACCCUGAUGCAGCGACGCCGCGUGAGCGAUGAAGCCUUUCGGGGUGUAAAGCUCUUUCGGCAGGGAAGAUAAUGACGGUACCUGCAGAAGCAGCUGCGGCUAACUACGUGCCAGCAGCCGCGGUAAUACGUAGGCAGCAAGCGUUGUUCGGAGUUACUGGGCGUAAAGGGUGCGUAGGCGGUCCUAUAAGUAUGGUGUGAAAUCUCCCGGCUCAACUGGGAGGGUGCGCCGUAGACUGUGGGACUAGAGUAUGGGAGAGGAAAGUGGAAUUCCUGGUGUAGCGGUGAAAUGCGUAGAUAUCAGGAGGAACACCGGUGGUGUAAACGGCUUUCUAGACCAUAACUGACGCUGAGGCACGAAAGCGUGGGUAGCAAACAGG